CAGUCGCCGCGGGAAUACGGAGGGUGCAAGCGUUAUCCGGAUUUAUUGGGUUUAAAGGGUCCGUAGGCGGACUUAUAAGUCAGUGGUGAAAGCCUGUCGCUUAACGAUAGAACUGCCAUUGAUACUGUAAGUCUUGAGUAUAUUUGAGGUAGCUGGAAUAAGUAGUGUAGCGGUGAAAUGCAUAGAUAUUACUUAGAACACCAAUUGCGAAGGCAGGUUACCAAGAUAUAACUGACGCUGAGGGACGAAAGCGUGGGUAGCGAACAGGAUUAGAUACCCGUGUAGUCCCUGUCUCUUAUAC
This 301-nucleotide ribosomal RNA is filed under the name uncultured bacterium. RNAcentral's name for it is "partial 16S ribosomal RNA". It matches the Rfam family "Bacterial small subunit ribosomal RNA", at positions 509 to 807 of the family's 1533-position model. The record is from RNAcentral.